This is a long non-coding RNA of Mus musculus (house mouse), 3203 nucleotides long. RefSeq annotates it as predicted gene, 34730. The record is from RefSeq and is a predicted model, not a curated record. Lineage: Eukaryota; Metazoa; Chordata; Mammalia; Rodentia; Muridae. The transcript has 3 exons.
CCACACCUAUGUUGGUCAUAGGCUGCUGGAAAAACACGGAGAGUUGGAUUAAGCAAAUUAACGCUACUAAAGUGGCUCAGGCUGUCAGACCCCGCGUAUUCCACUCUGAGUUAGGAACAGCUGUCAAGAUGACAGGAAGCUGUUAACGGGAUAGCAGUCGACCUCCUUCUCUGUGACUGACAAACCCAGAGGCAAAGUAUUGUCUGUGACCUCAAGCCCUGAGUUCCGCCGCAGAAGUGGCUGCAGGCAACUGAGCAUGCUCUGAACAGUGCCAGACUGCUGCACGUGGUUGCCUCUGGCAUCUGGCUGCCCAAGGUUGAGGAACAUCAAGACACCAGAGCUCAGAAGACAGGAGGAGGGAGCUGCCCUUACAGCAAGCAAUAGCAUGGAGCUGUCCUAGAUCUUCCUGCCAUGUGGAAGUGAGCUUGCUCGUCGAGAUUUUGGUGGACUGAAACUGUAGCUCGGUGGUAGAGUGCUUGCCUAUCGUGGACAAAAGUCCCGAGUUCCAGCGUCGAAGAAAACCACGCCAAAGCCUUGCUGCUGGAACUCUUGCUCUGGUGGUUAUUUUCCUCAGAUCAUAAGAAUCAGCGAAGUCUUCACACUGAAGAAGGAAAGUUCCAAGUUCAAGGACCAAGAUUAGGAUCAUUCUGGAACACCUUUUUGGGUUGGCAUUCAGAACUGAAAGUUUAGCUCUGUUGCACAAAGGGUACAGUGCCAGGUGAUGCACUCUUUGACCAAGAAGGAUAAAAUGGACUAAAGAAAAGGGGCCACCUACCCAUCUCAAAACUAUUAACCCAGAAUUGUUCCUGUCAAAAGGAAAUGCAGGGACAAAGAGUGGAGCAGAGACCGAAAGAAAGGCCAUCCAGAGACUGCCCCACCUGGAGAUCCAUCCCAUAUACAGACACCAAACCCAGACACUAUUGCUGAUGCCAAGAAGUGCUUACUGACAGGAGCCUGAUAUGGAUGCCUCCUGGGAGGCUCUGCCAGAACCUGACCAAUACAGAUGCAGAUGCUUGCAGCCAACCAUCAGAUUGAGCAUGGGGAGCCCAAUGGAAGAGUUAGGGGAAGGCCUGAAGGAGCUGAAGGAGUUUGCAACCCCACAGGAAGAACAAUAUCAACCAACCAGACCCUGACCCUCCCAGAGCUCCCAGAGACUAAACCACCAACCAAAGAGUACACAUGGAGGGGGAAGGAGGGGCAAGGAGGGGGAAGUGGGUUUAAGGAGGGGAAACUGGGAAGUGGGAUUACAUUUGAAAAGUAAAUAAAUAAAAUAACCAAUUUAAAAAAAAAAAAGAAAGAAAGAAAGGAAGAAAGAAAAGAAGAGCCAAUAGGACAGCCCAAAGUGCAGCGAUGCUACCAGUAAGCCCAUGAUUUAUAGCUGUGCUGUUCCUGCAGUAAUGCCCUGUGAGCAUCCCUGAGGCCAAAAAUUCAGAUGGAAUCCUCCUCAGAGCCCACUGCCUAAGUUUUCACUGAUCUUUACCAUCAGUCACACUUAAUAUUAAAUUGCCAAAGAAGAUUUGCCCAGAAUCUUUGACUUUCUACAACUUCCUCAUAAAAUACUUUUUUUUUUUUUCCUUCAAGCUGCUCUUCUAAUUGAUGUGUGAACACCUACGUCAGAUUUCAGUGCAUUUGUGAAGACAGAGGCACUGGGGGCACUUGGCGCAUUUACAGUCAGUGCAUCUGGGGACAAAGGCAGCAUAUCCUGUCUAACAGAGCACCAAACAUCAGAGUAUGAUGUAAUCCUAACUCGUGCUGCAAUCUUGAUUCCAUGUAAGAUCAGAUUCCAAGAGUGGGAAUUGGGAUUUUCUUUUAUAGGAAUGUGGGGGACACAGUUCACCUUCUGAAAGUGUGGUUUCCUUGAAGAAAAAUUAGCUUCCUGUAAGAGACCCAGCAAAUAUUUUGAGAGUAAAUACUCAUUUGCUAUGACUGCCAAGUAGAAUUUGCCAUUUUAACUUUGAACAAUAUGCUGAUGGACCUUGAAGUGUUAAGUGUAUGUUGGCCUUCCUAAGAAGCACACACACACACAUACACACACACACACACACACACACACACACACACGCUUCUCUAGAAUAAAAAAUAGUCUUAAAAAACAUAAAAACACCACUUCAAGACUACGCAAUAUUCUGCCAGUCUCACAUAAGAAGACAGAUUAUAUUAAGUGUGUCAGUUGUAAAAAAAAAAUCAAUAUUUAAACUGAUUCUGUUUUCUACCAUUCCUUAGAAUUGUUUCAACCUUGUAUCUUCAUCUAGUAUGCAGCAGGACACCCUGUUGAUGGAAUCAAAUAAUGCUUGUAUACAGUGACUUGUAUUUUUGAAGUUAAUUGAAUGGACAUGUCUAGUUGGCAUUGUUCAUAAAAUUUCAGGCUUAUAGUACGAUUUAAUCAUAUUGGAUGCAUAGUUCUUUCUAAAACUUGAAAUUUUCUUAAUAUCAGAUUUCCCAAAUUCCCACUGAUCUUUUCUGCAAGACUGCCACCUGCUGGCAAAAGGUUUGUUACUUUACAUAGAAAACAAUUGCACAGUUUACUCAGUGUACAAGGGGAUGCAUUACAACUUGAAACAUGUACCUAGGCUUUGGGGUUUCCUAGGUUGGUGUAAAUGACCGAAACAUAGAUGUCCCCAAAGCCCUCACCCUACAAGGUUUUAUGUGUAUUCUUUCCAGUUGGCUGUUAAUAGCAAGCCAUGAAUACAUGUGUCUGAGUCUUGGGAAGACGGGCCAACUGUGGCUCAGGCUCAUUCCUUUUGAAUGAUUGUGAAAUGACUAUGACUGUGGGCGAGGGGUCUCUAAGCAUUGUUAAAAUGUAUGCAUCUCUGAAGUCCUUUUGUAACUACAAUUUUUCUAAUGUAUUGGGAAUGCAGCUUUGUGCUCUGCCAGGACUGCCACCUUACUCCCCUGGCUGGCAGCAGCAGCCCCAGGACUACCCCUCACUAAGGACUUCCUCAGAUCUUCAUAAAGUGACACAAUUUUACACUGUGAUGACAGGAACUGCUUACAUGUGAGCUUGCAAGUCUGCUUUAAACAAUCUCCUAUUUCCUUGUCUGUAGCAGGGUUAACGAUUCUGUUGUAACAGGGCUAACAUUUUCUAGUUGUCUUGAAGUUUAAAUUAGAUUUCAAUAUAUACAUGAAAACUGUUAACUUUGUUAUUGGUAUCUCAGGGUCAGAUAUGGCACCACUAUCACCAGUAAUUAAAAGACUGAUCAAGA